Molecule: ribosomal RNA, 777 nt
Filed under: uncultured Neocallimastigales
Lineage: Eukaryota; Fungi; Neocallimastigomycota; Neocallimastigomycetes; Neocallimastigales
Description: partial large subunit ribosomal RNA
Rfam family: Eukaryotic large subunit ribosomal RNA
Source: RNAcentral
ACACUGACGUCGCGACGCAUAUCAAUAAGCGGAGGAAAAGAAACUAACUAGGAUUCCCUCAGUAACGGCGAGUGAAGCGGGAAGAGCUCAAAUUUGAAAUCUUCAAGGUUUUACCUUGACGAAUUGUAGUUUAAAGAAGUGUUUUCUGUUAGGAGUUGGUAAAAGUUCUUUGGAAUAGGACAUCAUAGAGGGUGAGAAUCCCGUAUUUGACCAUUCUUUCUAACUUUGUGAUACACUUUCAAAGAGUCGGAUUGUUUGGGAAUGCAGUCCAAAAUGGGUGGUAAAUUUCAUCUAAAGCUAAAUAUUGGCGAGAGACCGAUAGCGAACAAGUACCGUGAGGGAAAGAUGAAAAGAACUUUGAAAAGAGAGUUAAACAGUACGUGAAAUUGUCAAAAGGGAAGCGUUUGACACCAGUGUUGUUUUCUCGAAAAUCAAUUAAAAAUGACCGGAUUUUGUGUUGUAUUGACUUUAUCAGCUUUCUGCACUUUUUUCCUUGUCUUUUUUAAUGCACUUUUCGUUUAACAAGUCAACAUCAAUUUCUUUUGUUGUAAAAGAGUCAUUGGAAGGUGGCUUUCAUUUCGGUAGAAAGUGUUUAUAGCCUUGUGACUUCUGCAAUCGGAGAGAUUGAGGUCUGCAGCGUAGAUCCUUCGGGGUUAGAUACAGUUUGUGCUAUGUUAUAGUUUUUCAUAGACAACAUGUUGACUAUGAUUAGUCAUGUAGCUUACUCGCUUAUGCUAUUUUACCUACGCUUAGGAUGUUGACGCGCGUGUGUGCGUG